Long non-coding RNA from Etheostoma spectabile (orangethroat darter), 103 nucleotides. RefSeq lists it as uncharacterized. The transcript has 3 exons. The record is from RefSeq and is a predicted model, not a curated record. Lineage: Eukaryota; Metazoa; Chordata; Actinopteri; Perciformes; Percidae.
UCACCCAAGGGUCCUUUGCACCACGACCUUGAGCCAAAACCACCACCCAAAAGCUUUUUUUACCUGGGUCUAACAUUGGGCGAGUUAGCGUAGAGUAGUUUUA